RNAcentral lists this ribosomal RNA (487 nucleotides) under uncultured bacterium. Its description in RNAcentral is "bacterial SSU rRNA". It matches the Rfam family "Bacterial small subunit ribosomal RNA", at positions 501 to 987 of the family's 1533-position model. The record is from RNAcentral.
CUACGUGCCAGCAGCCGCGGUAAUACGUAGGGUGCGAGCGUUAAUCGGAAUUACUGGGCGUAAAGCGAGCGCAGACGGUUACUUAAGCAGGAUGUGAAAUCCCCGGGCUCAACCUGGGAACUGCGUUCUGAACUGGGUAGCUAGAGUAUGUCAGAGGGGGGUAGAAUUCCACGUGUAGCAGUGAAAUGCGUAGAGAUGUGGAGGAAUACCGAUGGCGAAGGCAGCCUCCUGGGAUAACACUGACGUUCAUGCUCGAAAGCGUGGGUAGCAAACAGGAUUAGAUACCCUGGUAGUCCACGCCCUAAACGAUGUCAAUUAGCUGUUGGGCAACUUGAUUGCUUAGUAGCGUAGCUAACGCGUGAAAUUGACCGCCUGGGGAGUACGGUCGCAAGAUUAAAACUCAAAGGAAUUGACGGGGACCCGCACAAGCGGUGGAUGAUGUGGAUUAAUUCGAUGCAACGCGAAGAACCUUACCUGGUCUUGACAU